GGCGGACGGGUGAGUAACAUGUAUCCAACCUGCCUGGGAGAUCGGGAUAACGUUCGGAAACGAACGCUAAGACCGGAUAGAUGCUUCUCUCGCAUGAGAGGAGCAAGAAACACGGGUUAAACCGUGGCUUGCAGAUGGGCCUGCGGCGCAUUAGCUAGUUGGUGGGGUAACGGCCUACCAAGGCGACGAUGCGUAGCCGACCUGNGAGGGUGAACGGCCACACUGGGACUGAGACACGG
Molecule: ribosomal RNA, 239 nt
Filed under: uncultured bacterium
Lineage: Bacteria
Description: partial 16S ribosomal RNA
Rfam family: Bacterial small subunit ribosomal RNA
Source: RNAcentral